UCUCCGUUGGUGAACCAGCGGAGGGAUCAUUACAGAGUUGCGAAACUCCAUAAACCAUUGUGAACCUACCCUCAACCGUUGCUUCGGCGGGCGGCCCCGACCCCCGGGGCCCUUGGCCUCCGCUGGCGCCCGCCGGAGGUACGCAAAAACCCUUUGAGCUUUGCAUGGCCUCUCUGAGUCUCUGUACUGAAUAAGUCAAAACUUUCAACAACGGAUCUCUUGGUUCUG
Molecule: unclassified non-coding RNA, 228 nt
Filed under: root metagenome
Description: partial contains small subunit ribosomal RNA, internal transcribed spacer 1, and 5.8S ribosomal RNA
Source: RNAcentral